GACGAACGCUGGCGGCGUGCUUAACACAUGCAAGUCGAACGGAAAGGCCCUGCUUUUGUGGGGUGCUCGAGUGGCGAACGGGUGAGUAACACGUGAGUAACCUGCCCUUGACUUUGGGAUAACUUCAGGAAACUGGGGCUAAUACCGGAUAGGAGCUCCUGCUGCAUGGUGGGGGUUGGAAAGUUUCGGCGGUUGGGGAUGGACUCGCGGCUUAUCAGCUUGUUGGUGGGGUAGUGGCUUACCAAGGCUUUGACGGGUAGCCGGCCUGAGAGGGUGACCGGCCACAUUGGGACUGAGAUACGGCCCAGACUCCUACGGGAGGCAGAAGUGGGGAAUAUUGCUCAAUGGGCGGAAGCCUGAUGCAGCAACGCCGCGUGCGGGAUGACGGCCUUCGGGUUGUAAACCGCUUUCGCCUGUGACGAAGCGUGAGUGACGGUAAUGGGUAAAGAAGCACCGGCUAACUACGUG
Molecule: ribosomal RNA, 468 nt
Filed under: uncultured bacterium
Lineage: Bacteria
Description: partial 16S ribosomal RNA
Rfam family: Bacterial small subunit ribosomal RNA
Source: RNAcentral